UACAGAGGUCUCAAGCGUUGUUCGGAUUCAUUGGGCGUAAAGGGUGCGUAGGCGGUCUUUUAAGUCAGUGGUGAAAUCCUCCAGCUCAACUGGAGAACUGCCAUUGAUACUGGAAGACUUGAGUAUAGUUGAGGUAGGCGGAAUUGACAGUGUAGCGGUGAAAUGCAUAGAUAUUGUCAAGAACACCGAUUGCGAAGGCAGCUUACUAAACUAUAACUGACGCUGAGGCACGAAAGUGCGGGGAUCAAACAGG
This 253-nucleotide ribosomal RNA is filed under the name uncultured bacterium. RNAcentral describes it as "partial 16S ribosomal RNA". It matches the Rfam family "Bacterial small subunit ribosomal RNA", at positions 524 to 776 of the family's 1533-position model. The record is from RNAcentral.